RNAcentral lists this ribosomal RNA (495 nucleotides) under uncultured bacterium. RNAcentral describes it as "partial 16S ribosomal RNA". It matches the Rfam family "Bacterial small subunit ribosomal RNA", at positions 28 to 507 of the family's 1533-position model. The record is from RNAcentral.
GACGAGCGCUGGCGGCGUGCCUAAUACAUGCAAGUAGAACGCUGAAGGAGGAGCUUGCUCUUCUGGAUGAGUUGCGAACGGGUGAGUAACGCGUAGGUAACCUGCCUGGUAGCGGGGGAUAACUAUUGGAAACGAUAGCUAAUACCGCAUAAGAGUAGAUGUUGCAUGACAUUUACUUAAAAGGUGCAAUUGCAUCACUACCAGAUGGACCUGCGUUGUAUUAGCUAGUUGGUGGGGUAACGGCUUACCAAGGCGACGAUACAUAGCCGACCUGAGAGGGUGAUCGGCCACACUGGGACUGAGACACGGCCCAGACUCCUACGGGAGGCAGCAGUAGGGAAUCUUCGGCAAUGGACGGAAGUCUGACCGAGCAACGCCGCGUGAGUGAAGAAGGUUUUCGGAUCGUAAAGCUCUGUUGUAAGAGAAGAACGAGUGUGAGAGUGGAAAGUUCACACUGUGACGGUAUCUUACCAGAAAGGGACGGCUAACUACGUG